RNAcentral lists this ribosomal RNA (1558 nucleotides) under uncultured bacterium. RNAcentral describes it as "partial 16S ribosomal RNA". It matches the Rfam family "Bacterial small subunit ribosomal RNA". The record is from RNAcentral.
GGGACUAGUCCUGCAGGUUUAAACGAAUUCGCCCUUAGAGUUUGAUCAUGGCUCAGAACGAACGCUGGCGGCGUGGAUUAGGCAUGCAAGUCGAGCGAUCCUUCGGGAUAGCGGCAAAAGGGUGAGUAACGCGUGGGUAAUCUACCCUCAAGUUAAGGAUAACACCGAGAAAUUGGUGCUAAUACUUUAUGUGACCACAAGCACACAAGUGCAUGAGGUAAAAGGUGGGGAUCUUCGGACCUACCACUUAAGGAGGAACCCGCGUCCUAUUAGCUAGUUGGUGAGGUAACGGCUCACCAAGGCGAAGAUGGGUAGCUGGUCUGAGAGGAUGGUCAGCCACACUGGGACUGAGACACUGCCCAGACUCCUACGGGAGGCUGCAGUCGAGAAUCUUUUGCAAUGGGGGAAACCCUGACAAUGCGACGCCGCGUGAGCGAUGAAGGCCUUCGGGUCGUAAAGCUCUGUUUAUUGGGAAGAAAGACUUUGAUCGAAUAGGUCAAAGGGAUGACGGUACCAGUAGAGGAAGUCACGGCUAACUCCGUGCCAGCAGCCGCGGUAAUACGGAGGUGGCAAGCGUUGUUCGGAUUUAUUGGGUGUAAAGGGUAUGUAGGUGGUUAAGUAAGUCGAGCGUGAAAUCCAUUGGCUCAACCAAUGAACUGCACUCGAAACUGCAUAACUUGAGUUCAGGAGAGGAAAGCGGAAUUCCCGGUGUAAGAGUGAAAUCUGUAGAGAUCGGGAGGAACACCAGUGGCGAAGGCGGCUUUCUGGACUGAUACUGACACUGAAAUACGAAAGCUAGGGGAGCAAACAGGAUUAGAUACCCUGGUAGUCCUAGCCGUAAACGAUGGGCACUAGGUGUCGGAGCGCGAGCUUCGGUGCCGCAGUUAACACAUUAAGUGCCCCACCUGGGGAGUACGGCCGCAAGGCUGAAACUCAAAGGAAUUGACGGGGGCCCGCACAAGAGGUGGUGCAUGUGGUUUAAUUCGACGCUACGCGAAGAACCUUACCAAGGCUUGACAUGUAAGAAGUACGAACCUGAAAGGGAGAGGACCUGUCAAAUCAGGAACUUACACAGGUGUUGCAUGGCUGUCGUCAGCUCGUGCCGUGAGGUGUUGGGUUAAGUCCCGCAACGAGCGCAACCCCUAUCUUUAGUUGCUACGUUUAGUUACUUUUGUAACUUAACGGCACUCUAAAGAGACUGCCAGUGAUAAACUGGAGGAAGGUGGGGAUGACGUCAAGUCAGUACGGCCCUUAUGCCUUGGGCUACACACGUGCAACAAUGGCCAGUACAAAGGGUUAUGCCAAACCGUGAGGUGGAGCUAAUCCCAAAAAACUGGUCCCAGUUCGGAUUGAAGGCUGCAAUUCGCCUUCAUGAAGUAGGAAUCUCUAGUAACGGUAGGUCAGCCAUNNUACCGNGAAUACGUUCCCGGGCCUUGUACACACCGCCCGUCAAGCGAUGGAANCUGGGGGUACCNGAANUCCUGUUAAAGNCCGAAGGUAAANNUGGUGACNGNNGCNAAGUCGUAACAAGGUAAAGGGCGAAUUCGCGGCCGCUAAA